Molecule: ribosomal RNA, 253 nt
Filed under: uncultured bacterium
Lineage: Bacteria
Description: partial 16S ribosomal RNA
Rfam family: Bacterial small subunit ribosomal RNA
Source: RNAcentral
UACGUAGGGUGCAAGCGUUGUCCGGAAUUAUUGGGCGUAAAGAGCUCGUAGGCGGUUUGUCGCGUCGAAUGUGAAAACCCGGGGCUCAACCCCGGGCCUGCAUUCGAUACGGGCAGACUAGAGUUCAGUAGGGGAGUCUGGAAUUCCUGGUGUAGCGGUGAAAUGCGCAGAUAUCAGGAGGAACACCGGUGGCGAAGGCGGGACUCUGGGCCGAUACUGACGCUGAGGAGCGAAAGCGUGGGGAGCAAACAGG